UACGGAGGGGGCUAGCGUUGUUCGGAUUUACUGGGCGUAAAGCGCGUGUAGGCGGCUUGGCAAGUCGGAUGUGAAAGCCCACGGCUCAACCGUGGAAGCGCAUCCGAAACUGCUUCGCUCGAGUCUCGGAGAGGAAGGUGGAAUGCUUGGUGUAGAGGUGAAAUUCGUAGAUAUCAAGCAGAACACCUGCGGCGAAGGCGGCCUUCUGGACGAUGACUGACGCUGAGACGCGAAAGCGUGGGGAGCAAACAGGAUUAGAUACCCGCGUAGUCC
This 273-nucleotide ribosomal RNA is filed under the name uncultured bacterium. RNAcentral's name for it is "partial 16S ribosomal RNA". It matches the Rfam family "Bacterial small subunit ribosomal RNA", at positions 524 to 796 of the family's 1533-position model. The record is from RNAcentral.